Molecule: small RNA, 218 nt
Filed under: Mycobacterium kyorinense
Lineage: Bacteria; Bacillati; Actinomycetota; Actinomycetes; Mycobacteriales; Mycobacteriaceae
Description: c-di-AMP sequence
Rfam family: c-di-AMP riboswitch aptamer (ydaO/yuaA leader)
About the family: This family represents a conserved RNA structure found upstream of the ydaO and yuaA genes in Bacillus subtilis and related genes in other bacteria.
Source: RNAcentral
CCACCUGUAGCGCCGAGCUCCAUCCAGCAGGCGGGGGCCAACGACAACCCGUGGAUGGAGGCGGGGGACCCACCGGUCCGCCGAAAUCGGACUGGAGCCUCACCGAGGCUCCUAGGGGUGAAGCCGCCGUCGUUUCCCCGUGGACACGGCAGCGGCCGGGCGACCUCUCCUAGCCCGAACCCGACAGCUGACCUCGUAGGCGCAUACAGAGAGGACAU